CGGAACACGUACAGAACCUUCCUUCGAGCGGGGAAGUAGCCCAGAGAAAUUUGGAUUAAUACCCCAUAGUAUAUUGGAGUGGCAUCACUUUGAUAUUAAAGAUUUAUCACUUGAAGAUGGCUGUGCGGCUGAUUAGAUAGUUGGCGGGGUAACGGCCCACCAAGUCUGCGAUCAGUAACUGGUGUGAGAGCACGACCAGUCACACGGGCACUGAGACACGGGCCCG
Molecule: ribosomal RNA, 226 nt
Filed under: uncultured bacterium
Lineage: Bacteria
Description: partial 16S ribosomal RNA
Rfam family: Bacterial small subunit ribosomal RNA
Source: RNAcentral